ACUACGGGAGGCAGCAGUGAGGAAUAUUGGUCAAUGGGCGCGAGCCUGAACCAGUCAAGUAGCGUGAAGGAUGACUGCCCUACGGGUUGGAAACUUCUUUUAUAAAGGAAUAAAGUGAGGCACGUGUGCCUUUUUGUAUGUACUUUAUGAAUAAGGAUCGGCUCACUCCGUGCCAGAAGCCGCGGUAAUACGGAGGAUCCGAGCGUUAUCCGGAUUUAUUGGGUUUAAAGGGAGCGUAGAUGGGUUGUUAAGUCAGUUGUGAAAGUUCGCGGCGCAACCGUAAAAUUGCAAUUGAUACUGGCAGUCUUGAGUGCAGUAGAGGUAAGCGGAAUUCGUGGUGUAGCGGUGAAAUGCGUAGAUAUCACGAAGAACUCCGAUUGCGAAGGCAGCUUACUAAACUGCCACUGACAUUGAGGCUCGAAAGUGUGGGUAGCAAACAGGAUUAGAUACCCCUGUAGUC
RNAcentral lists this ribosomal RNA (460 nucleotides) under uncultured bacterium. RNAcentral's name for it is "partial 16S ribosomal RNA". It matches the Rfam family "Bacterial small subunit ribosomal RNA", at positions 338 to 795 of the family's 1533-position model. The record is from RNAcentral.